Molecule: ribosomal RNA, 84 nt
Filed under: uncultured Dinobryon
Lineage: Eukaryota; Chrysophyceae; Chromulinales
Description: partial Microsporidia small subunit ribosomal RNA
Source: RNAcentral
GAAUGGAACCAUUCGUCCUUCAAAAUGAUCCGGCAAGAAAAUUUGUGUAUUUUGGAGAAGUUAAUGUCUCCAGAAAUAAGGACG